RNAcentral lists this long non-coding RNA (4610 nucleotides) under Marmota monax (woodchuck). Lineage: Eukaryota; Metazoa; Chordata; Mammalia; Rodentia; Sciuridae. The record is from RNAcentral.
GGCUGGUGGAGCAGAGGUGCUUCCAGAGCCCGGACUCGGAAGCCGCCAACGGGACAAACUUCUCCUGUCACUCCAGGAUCAGACUAGCCCAGCGUCACAGACGGAAGCAGGAAACGCACUGGGAGCCUGGGGUGGGGCAGGCGCGCGGUUGCCAGCCCUAGGAAACCUCACCUUCCUCGUCUGUGAAAUGGGGACGGACAGGGCGCCCUUGAAAGAAGGUGGAGCAGGACCUCCAGCCGGGGUCGUGGCCUUGGUCAGAUCUUAGGUGGUGUGGAAGACGGUGAGAAAGGACGGACAUUUCUUUCAAUUGCAGUGUGACGGGUGCCCGGGGCACCACGUGGGGAGUGGGUAGAACAACCCUCAGGCCGUGCCGCAGACACUCUGGGGAUCCAGACGCCAGUGAUUCACCUUUUCGGAAAGUGAGUCAAAUCCACGGGGGGAAGUGGGGCGGAGGAGCGGGAUCCGGGAAGAAAGCCCUGACCCAGAGGCGCGCCCCUCAAGUGUCCAGGGAGGUUGAGCCGUAAACGCCACCUUGGCUCCCUCCUGAGUCGGGAAGGUGGCCGAGGGCGCCCAGGCUGUCUGGUGGCGGAGUCUCCACUCCGAGAGGUGAUGUCCUCCGGGAAGCUCCCCGUGGGCUCCACGCGUCGCCCCUGCCUGGCCGGAGGCCAGCGCCCUCCCCGCUCCCCACGGGUCCCCUCUGGCCCGCGCAGCCUCCGCGACCUCCCUGGCGCCGGCGGCCCGGCUCCGUCAACAGCGCGAGGUGUCGGGUUGCGCCGGUUGUUUGGGCCACACUGGGAGGCCCAGUGCAGGACAAUGACGGCCCCAGGCCAAAAGAAAACAACCCCACCCCCUGCGGCGCCACGGGACGCGGAGCCCAGUGAGUGGCAGCAGAGGCCCUGCGCAGGCAGGGAGCCGGACCCGACCCCGCGGGUCCCAAAGUCAGCGGGAAAAGCGGGUGCCACAGCCUCGCCCUUGUAAGAAACGCCCGCCGAGCGAGGUGGCCAAGAUUUCAAGAUUUGUUGUAUGCAUCAUUGCAGAUAGUGGCCUUAUUGCUCGCCCCAUGACAUCAUGCAAUGAGCACCCGCCCCUCCGUGAUUAAUUAUAAGGCCCACACCUGAGCCACCCCAAAUUUUCAGCGUCUCUCACUUCUAGAAAUCUGAGGCGUCGGGAUCAGGAUCUUGGCCAUUAGGAAGGGAUGUCCUGUGCUGUCAAAGAAGCCUCAGAAACUCGCCUCCCGCCCGCCUUAGAAUCCACAAGGCACUUGGGGUCCCCAGGUCUUAGUUUGCGCUCUGUAGUGAGGUUCUCAGCUUGGACUGUUCCCAACAUUCUCAGAAUAGCGCCUGGCACUGCAUAGACACUACUGGGGUUCAAGGACAAAGUUCGCUAAGAUUUAGAAAGGGGAAAGGUUGCUUUUAUACGAAGUAUUUGUGCAUUUUUCAAUGUGAAAUUCAAGGUGUUUAUUUCAAAAUGUAGAUUUAAAUGUAUGCCUUGAUAUUAAAAUAACGAAUCUAUAAAUGUGAAAAUGCAAACUAUGAAUUUUGCACACAUACUUUUGCUGGAACAGCCAACUAGCCACUGCCUAUCACUUUACACUUCAAAAUGCCAAUCACCCAGCAAGUUCUGCCUUCCCUGUGAGCCCAACUCCUACAUUUUCUAAUUUUCUGUGCCUCCCUAAUUUUGCUACAGAAUUAUUUCCCCUGCUGGUCUGUACAUUCCCAGUAAUAUGUAUAGCACCCAGCAGCUCUCUUCUGGGAGAGGAAAGGGGAAGAAGGUGGAUUGGGACCUUCCACCUCAGGGUUCCACAGGGUUCUACAAGGUCAAAGGUGGAAGCCUGAUUUGGGAGAGGGACUCAUUUGAAGUGUCUUUUACUGAGUUGAGAAAAGUUUUCCUACGAAAACAAACAAAAGAAAAUAAGGACCUAGAUAAUGUAUCACCAGCAGCGAUUAACCUGUGAAGUCCAUGCAAAGGGACUGAUUAGCUUUUUUAAUCAGUGAAGCAACUGUCAUAAAUCAAAGCAAUAUUUCAGGCUAAGUCUUGAUACUUCCAUUACAGACAAGUAAAUCAAAAUUCAUCCCUUCUGCUACAGAAGUGAAUAAUCUCCACUAGGAAAUAAAUACAAUGUCCACAAUUCUUAGCAUAGUCCAUUUUAUUGUGCAUAGUUGAAAACUGAAAACAGCAAAACUUUAUUCUUCUAUCUCUCCAUCCUUUCAUCAGAAAACAGUGAGGGUUCUCAGAACCCCUGACCCAGAUCAUCUCUACCACUUUAUUUAACUGGGCAGGGGUAUCAAAUACAGCAAACUCCCCCCCAAAUGUAUAAAAUAUUAUAAUGCCUAAAUGCCAAACAGUUGAACUGUUUGAAUUUAUCUUAAAACUAACAUUGAGAUAACACCCAACCAGGUCAGGACAUUCCAGAAACUCUCACAAACCACUUUAAGAAUAUGAAGUUCCCUCUCCUUCUUCCUCAAUACUAAAUAGUUACCAUUACUUUUACUUUUAUGGUAUUCAUUUCUCUGAUGAUUUUCUUGUUGUUGUUGUUAUUUAAUAGUUACAUUACUUAGGCACCCCUAAAAAUAUAUACAGUAGUUUAAUUUUGCCUGCUUUAAAACUUCAUACAAAAGAAAUCAUUUUGUACGUGCUCUGCUGUACGGGCUUAAUUUGCUUGACAUUGUACCUUUAAGAUGCAUCUUUGCUGUAUAUACCUGUAGUUCAUUUUUUUUUUUUGCUGUUAUAUAGUAUUUUGUACUUCUCAUUUAAUUACUAUGCCAUGCAUAUCUCUCUUCUAUACCAUUUCACACUAUUGACUAUAACACAAUUUAUUCCAUUCUAUUUUACUGUUGGUGAACAUUUGAAUUGUUUCUGCUUCUGAGCUAUUAUGAAUAAUGCUGCUCUGAAUGUUACACUGUAUAUGUGCCUAGAGCACCUGCCCACACACUUCAGUGGUGUUUAGGGUACAUGUGGGACUGCUAGGCCACAGAAUAAUUGGAUCUUCAGCAGUAGUAGAUAUGGCCAUACAGAUUUCCAAUUUUCACUCCCAGGAGCAAUGUAUCAAGAUUCCCCACUUCCGGCAUCCUAGCCCUCACUCCUGUAGUUAAGCUUCAAAAUUUCAGCGUGACUACUGGGGGGCGUCCUUUCUUAUGCUUAUUGUCCAUUUAAAUUUCUUCUUUGUAAAAAGAAGAUAAUUUGCCCAUUUUUCUGUGUUUAUAUUGAUUUGGGAAAGUUUGGCCUAUGUUUUGGAUACCAGGCUUUAGCCAUGAUGUGCUCCAAAAAAAAGUCUCCCACUCUGGCCAGCCUCUUUGCUCAAUAGAUUACCUUUAACUUUAAAAAAAAAAAAACAACAACAUAUUUUUAUUUAACUGACACAUAGCAAUUGUACAUACAUUGUGACCAUGUGUAAUGAUCCGAUGAGGGCAAGCAGCACGUCUAUCAUCUCAAACAUUUAUCAUUUGUGUUGGAAACAUUCCAAAUCCUCUCUUCCAGCAAUCUUGAAAAACUCAAUUAAUUGAUAUCAGCCAUGCUUUUGAUGACCAAAAUACAGCCGGGUAACGGAUCCUUUCCUUUAUAGAUUGUACUUAGUGUGAGAAAUCCCUCCUUGUCCCCAGUUCAUGAAAAUAUGCUUCUAUUUUUAUGUUAACAGUUUGCUCUUCGCAUUUAGGGAUAACAGCGAGGCUCUGAGUCUCCACCGGGAGAUGUUCUGCUGUGCAAAGCAAAUGCUCUCGGGAUUUCGGGUGUGGCCUCCGUAACUACCGCUUUCUCUAGAGUAAUUUCUCUAGAUUAAGCCAGAGGCAGCCGGCACAGAGGAAGCCCCACGCAGCCAGUUCCUUUUCCGAGCUGCUCCCAGUGCAACUAAGCCGAGCUCUGCUCUCAAAGCCAGAAGGCGCCGCCCAGCUCCUGAUUUGCCUCUGAUGUCCCCAAAGCAAUUCGCAAAAGGGAAGAAGCCGGCUGCGGUGCGCGAGAGUCCAUGCUGCAGCUGCGGGCCGUGCCUCGCUGAGCCAUCCCUUGUCCAGGGAACGAAUGCUCUAGCAACCAGGAACCGCGUCUGGUGGUGCCUUUGUUUCUUCCGGCAGAUCUCCUAGGGGAUAAGGACAGACCCCUGGAGGGAAGGGGCGGCUUUGGAUGGCCCUCUCUGCUAGGCCUUAUGCCCAGGGCGCACCCCUAGGUGUCUACCUGAGAAUCUGCGGGUGAUUUCUUUUCUUUCUUUUCUCUUUUCCUUUUUUCUUUCUUUCUUGCUUUUUCCCCUAGCCGGUUCUGCCAGCACACCUUUCUGCAAAAAACGAAUGCCCUUCUCCUCCCUCUCUUCUCCCUCCACCCUUCGAGGAAACAAUCUGAGAAGCAAGGAAAAUAUCACUUAUAGGAAAGUGAACAGCGGUGUUACACAUACAAAUGAAAAUUGGGAAGAGAUCUAAAGAUCACUCAAAAGAAAGUAACUUCAAUAGUACAUAUGCGGGGCUGAGGAUGUAGCCCAGUGGUAGAGCGCAGGCUCCAUCCCCAAAUGGAAAACUAGAAAAGGUACCUAUGAAUAGGAGAAAAUACGUCCAGGCUGGGGAAGGGGCGCGGCUCAGUGGUAGAACCUUUCCUAGCUUGCGGUGAGGCCCAGGGUGCUCUAGCACUAC